CCCUUAGAUGUUCUGGGCUGCACGCGCGCGACAAUGACGUUUGCAACGAGAUUGCGAGGCCGUCAGGUCGAGCUGAUCUUGCAAGCUGCGUCGUGAUAGGGACAGUCGAUUGCAAUUAUUCGACUCGAACGAGGAAUUCCUUGUAAUCGCGCAUCAUCAGUGCGCGCUGAAUACGUCCCUGCCCUUUGUACACACCGCCCGUCGCUCCUACCGAUUGAGUGGUCCGGUGAGGCUUUGGGAUCUGAGCGGAAAGAGCGUUUCGCUGUUUCUGCUCGGAAAACUCAGUCGAACCUUAUCAUUUAGAGGAAGGAGAAGUCGUAACA
Molecule: ribosomal RNA, 323 nt
Filed under: uncultured eukaryote
Lineage: Eukaryota
Description: partial 18S ribosomal RNA
Rfam family: Eukaryotic small subunit ribosomal RNA
Source: RNAcentral